RNAcentral lists this ribosomal RNA (23 nucleotides) under Brachytheciastrum velutinum. RNAcentral's name for it is "partial 26S ribosomal RNA". RNAcentral also lists the same sequence under 2 other names. The record is from RNAcentral. Lineage: Eukaryota; Viridiplantae; Streptophyta; Bryopsida; Hypnales; Brachytheciaceae.
CAGACCUCUAAUCGGAAAAGACU